CCUCCCUCAGCGCUGAAGAGGUUAAAACCCUUUCAGUCACUUACCCAAAUCCAGUGCCGAUGUCCCUCGGGGCUGGGACAGGCUCUGCCCAUGCUCCUCCCCCAUCCGACAUCAGCCAGGGAGUAAGACUUAAUGCGCAUGCGCAGCAAUGGCCACGCUCACGUUAGGAUUUCCCUAUAGGAAAGCAUUAGUCAAAGCUUUCCUAUGGGGGGAAAAAAUCUGACGC
This is a non-coding RNA of Pelobates cultripes (western spadefoot toad), 226 nucleotides long. The record is from the annotation of a GenBank genome assembly. NCBI's taxonomy places the organism in Eukaryota, Metazoa, Chordata, Amphibia, Anura, Pelobatidae.